This 252-nucleotide ribosomal RNA is filed under the name uncultured bacterium. Its description in RNAcentral is "partial 16S ribosomal RNA". It matches the Rfam family "Bacterial small subunit ribosomal RNA", at positions 524 to 776 of the family's 1533-position model. The record is from RNAcentral.
UACAGAGGGUGCGAGCGUUAAUCGGAAUUACUGGGCGUAAAGCGCGCGUAGGCGGCUUUGCAAGUCGGGUGUGAAAUCCCCAGGCUUAACCUGGGAACUGCAUUCGAGACUGCAUUCUAGAGUAUGGGAGAGGGAAGUGGAAUUUCCGGUGUAGCGGUGAAAUGCGUAGAUAUCGGAAGGAACAUCAGUGGCGAAAGCGACUUCCUGGACCAAUACUGACGCUCAUGUGCGAAAGCGUGGGGAGCAAACAGG